Talpa occidentalis (Iberian mole) is the source of this 185-nucleotide long non-coding RNA. RefSeq lists it as uncharacterized. NCBI's taxonomy places the organism in Eukaryota, Metazoa, Chordata, Mammalia, Eulipotyphla, Talpidae. The transcript is spliced from 3 exons. The record is from RefSeq and is a predicted model, not a curated record.
CAUCAUUGGCCCUUCUUUCCAGUAUGCAAUUAAUUGCAUAUUUAAAUCAAAAUUAUGAGAAGACAUUUGAGGACUAUGAGCUCUAAUUCUUCCAAUAAACUUAUGAACAAUUCCACUUUUCAGUUGCCCCUUCCAGGACAAUACAAGAACUAGCCACACUGGGUCUGCAUUCUUGCUAGCAGUGA